UACAGAGGGUGCAAGCGUUGUUCGGAAUUAUUGGGCGUAAAGGGCGCGUAGGCGGUUCGGCAAGUCUCUAGUGAAAUCUCAGGGCUCAACUCUGAGUCUGCUGGGGAAACUGCCGGGCUUGAGUGUGGGAGAGGAGAGUGGAAUUCCCGGUGUAGAGGUGAAAUUCGUAGAUAUUCGGAAGAACACCAGUGGCGAAGGCGGCUCACUGGACAUGUAUUGACGCUGAGGUGCGAAAGCGUGGGGAGCAAACAGG
Molecule: ribosomal RNA, 253 nt
Filed under: uncultured bacterium
Lineage: Bacteria
Description: partial 16S ribosomal RNA
Rfam family: Bacterial small subunit ribosomal RNA
Source: RNAcentral